CGGGGGGGGCCUAUCUGCAGUCGACGCGCAGCGAAAGGUGCUUGCACCUUUCAAGCGAGUGGCGAACGGGUGAGUAACACGUGGAUAACCUGCCUCAAGGCUGGGGAUAACAUUUGGAAACAGAUGCUAAUACCGAAUAAAACUUAGUAUCGCAUGAUACAAAGUUGAAAGGCGCUACGGCGUCACCUAGAGAUGGGUCCGCGGUGCAUUAGUUAGUUGGUGGGGUAAAGGCCUACCAAGACAAUGAUGCAUAGCCGAGUUGAGAGACUGAUCGGCCACAUUGGGACUGAGACACGGCCCAAACUCCUACGGGAGGCUGCAGUAGGGAAUCUUCCACAAUGGGCGAAAGCCUGAUGGAGCAACGCCGCGUGUGUGAUGAAGGCUUUAGGGUCGUAAAGCACUGUUGUAUGGGAAGAAAUGCUAGAAUAGGGAAUGAUUCUAGUUCGACGGUACCAUACCAGAAAGGGACGGCUAAAUACGUGCCAGCAGCCGCGGUAAUACGUAUGUCCCGAGCGUUAUCCGGAUUUAUUGGGCGUAAAGCGAGCGCAGACGGUUGAUUAAGUCUGAUGUGAAAGCCCGGAGCUCAACUCCGGAAUGGCAUUGGAAACUGGUUAACUUGAGUGUUGUAGAGGUAAGUGGAACUCCAUGUGUAGCGGUGGAAUGCGUAGAUAUAUGGAAGAACACCAGUGGCGAAGGCGGCUUACUGGACAACAACUGACGUUGAGGCUCGAAAGUGUGGGUAGCAAACAGGGAUUAGAUACCCUGGUAGUCCACACCGUAAACGAUGAAUACUAGGGUGUUGAGGAGGUUUUCCGCCUCUUUAUGGCCGAGCACUAAACGCAUUUAAGUUAUUCCCGCCCUGGGGAAGUAC
This 871-nucleotide ribosomal RNA is filed under the name Leuconostoc lactis. Its description in RNAcentral is "bacterial SSU rRNA". It matches the Rfam family "Bacterial small subunit ribosomal RNA", at positions 40 to 883 of the family's 1533-position model. Lineage: Bacteria; Bacillati; Bacillota; Bacilli; Lactobacillales; Lactobacillaceae. The record is from RNAcentral.